CCGGCGAUGUCCGAAUGGGGAAACCCAGUGCAAUUCGUUGCACUAUCGUUAACUGAAUACAUAGGUUAACGAGGCGAACCGGGGGAACUGAAACAUCUAAGUACCCCGAGGAAAAGAAAUCAACCGAGAUUCCCCCAGUAGCGGCGAGCGAACGGGGAGCAGCCCAGAGUCUGAAUCAGCUUGUGUGUUAGUGGAACGGUCUGGAAAGUCCGACGGUACAGGGUGAUAGUCCCGUACACCAAAAUGCACAGGCUGUGAACUCGAAGAGUAGGGCGGGACACGUGGUAUCCUGUCUGAAUAUGGGGGGACCAUCCUCCAAGGCUAAAUACUCCUGACUGACCGAUAGUGAACCAGUACCGUGAGGGAAAGGCGAAAAGAACCCCGGCGAGGGGAGUGAAAAAGAACCUGAAACCGUGUACGUACAAGCAGUGGGAGCACCUUCGGGUGUGACUGCGUACCUUUUGUAUAAUGGGUCAGCGACUUAUAUUCUGUAGCAAGGUUAACCGUAUAGGGGAGCCGCAGGGAAACCGAGUCUUAACUGGGCGUUAAGUUGCAGGGUAUAGACCCGAAACCCGGUGAUCUAGCCAUGGGCAGGUUGAAGGUUGGGUAACACUAACUGGAGGACCGAACCGACUAAUGUUGAAAAAUUAGCGGAUGACUUGUGGCUGGGGGUGAAAGGCCAAUCAAACCGGGAGAUAGCUGGUUCUCCCCGAAAGCUAUUUAGGUAGCGCCUCGUGAACUCAUCUUCGGGGGUAGAGCACUGUUUCGGCUAGGGGGUCAUCCCGACUUACCAACCCGAUGCAAACUACGAAUACCGAAGAAUGUUAUCACGGGAGACACACGGCGGGUGCUAACGUCCGUCGUGAAGAGGGAAACAACCCAGACCGCCAGCUAAGGUCCCAAAGUCAUGGUUAAGUGGGAAACGAUGUGGGAAGGCACAGACAGCCAGGAUGUUGGCUUAGAAGCAGCCAUCAUUUAAAGAAAGCGUAAUAGCUCACUGGUCGAGUCGGCCUGCGCGGAAGAUGUAACGGGGCUAAACCAUGCACCGAAGCUGCGGCAGCGACACUAUGUGUUGUUGGGUAGGGGAGCGUUCUGUAAGCCUGCGAAGGUGACCUGUGAGGGUUGCUGGAGGUAUCAGAAGUGCGAAUGCUGACAUAAGUAACGAUAAAGCGGGUGAAAAGCCCGCUCGCCGGAAGACCAAGGGUUCCUGUCCAACGUUAAUCGGGGCAGGGUGAGUCGACCCCUAAGGCGAGGCCGAAAGGCGUAGUCGAUGGGAAACAGGUUAAUAUUCCUGUACUUGGUGUUACUGCGAAGGGGGGACGGAGAAGGCUAUGUUAGCCGGGCGACGGUUGUCCCGGUUUAAGCAUGUAGGCUGGUUGUCCAGGCAAAUCCGGAUAAUCAAGGCUGAGGUGUGAUGACGAGGCACUACGGUGCUGAAGUAACAAAUGCCCUGCUUCCAGGAAAAGCCUCUAAGCAUCAGGUAACAUUAAAUCGUACCCCAAACCGACACAGGUGGUCAGGUAGAGAAUACCAAGGCGCUUGAGAGAACUCGGGUGAAGGAACUAGGCAAAAUGGUGCCGUAACUUCGGGAGAAGGCACGCUGGUGUGUAGGUGAAGUCCCUGCGGAUGGAGCUGAGACCAGUCGAAGAUACCAGCUGGCUGCAACUGUUUAUUAAAAACACAGCACUGUGCAAACACGAAAGUGGACGUAUACGGUGUGACGCCUGCCCGGUGCCGGAAGGUUAAUUGAUGGGGUUAUCCGUAAGGAGAAGCUCUUGAUCGAAGCCCCGGUAAACGGCGGCCGUAACUAUAACGGUCCUAAGGUAGCGAAAUUCCUUGUCGGGUAAGUUCCGACCUGCACGAAUGGCGUAAUGAUGGCCAGGCUGUCUCCACCCGAGACUCAGUGAAAUUGAACUCGCUGUGAAGAUGCAGUGUACCCGCGGCAAGACGGAAAGACCCCGUGAACCUUUACUAUAGCUUGACACUGAACAUUGAGCCUUGAUGUGUAGGAUAGGUGGGAGGCUUUGAAGCGUGGACGCCAGUCUGCGUGGAGCCAACCUUGAAAUACCACCCUUUAAUGUUUGAUGUUCUAACGUUGGCCCCUUACCGGGGUUGCGGACAGUGUCUGGUGGGUAGUUUGACUGGGGCGGUCUCCUCCCAAAGCGUAACGGAGGAGCACGAAGGUUAGCUAAUCCUGGUCGGACAUCAGGAGGUUAGUGCAAUGGCAUAAGCUAGCUUGACUGCGAGCGUGACGGCGCGAGCAGGUGCGAAAGCAGGUCAUAGUGAUCCGGUGGUUCUGAAUGGAAGGGCCAUCGCUCAACGGAUAAAAGGUACUCCGGGGAUAACAGGCUGAUACCGCCCAAGAGUUCAUAUCGACGGCGGUGUUUGGCACCUCGAUGUCGGCUCAUCACAUCCUGGGGCUGAAGUAGGUCCCAAGGGUAUGGCUGUUCGCCAUUUAAAGUGGUACGCGAGCUGGGUUUAGAACGUCGUGAGACAGUUCGGUCCCUAUCUGCCGUGGGCGCUGGAGAAUUGAGGGGGGCUGCUCCUAGUACGAGAGGACCGGAGUGGACGCAUCACUGGUGUUCGGGUUGUCAUGCCAAUGGCACUGCCCGGUAGCUAAAUGCGGAAGAGAUAAGUGCUGAAAGCAUCUAAGCACGAAACUUGCCCCGAGAUGAGUUCUCCCUGAGACUUUAAGUCUCCUGAAGGAACGUUAAAGACGAUGACGUUGAUAGGCCGGGUGUGUAAGCGCAGCGAUGCGUUGAGCUAACCGGUACUAAUGAACCGUGAGGCUUAACCUU
RNAcentral lists this ribosomal RNA (2798 nucleotides) under Klebsiella pneumoniae. RNAcentral's name for it is "partial 23S ribosomal RNA". It matches the Rfam family "Bacterial large subunit ribosomal RNA". The record is from RNAcentral. Lineage: Bacteria; Pseudomonadati; Pseudomonadota; Gammaproteobacteria; Enterobacterales; Enterobacteriaceae.